UGCGCUGGCAUUCACGGGAUUGGCCU
RNAcentral lists this non-coding RNA (26 nucleotides) under Mus musculus (house mouse). Lineage: Eukaryota; Metazoa; Chordata; Mammalia; Rodentia; Muridae. The record is from RNAcentral.